CUGCAUCUCUAUGAUCUUCAAAUUUUUCUCUGUUCAGAAAGACAUCUGGAAGACAAGGAAUAUAUAACAAUAGUGAGUUAAGGGAAACCCUUUGGCGUUUAGACAUCCUAACUGAGCCGUGUGAAUGUACCCUCAAUAUUAUUAAGGAGGAAUAUUUGUUCCAAAUGGAGGCUUCCACAGUGAAAGCCAAGGGCAGGGGGGAAGGUGCUCAAAUAGAGCCAAAGAGAAAGAGGGCACCAGCUCAUGGAACAGGAAAUGAUCCAGCCAGGAGAGCCCCCCAGGUUUUGGAGGAAACCAAGAGGGGCAAAGGCAUGCUGUGAUUUGAAAGAGACAGAAAAAGAUAACUCCAAUGAGCAAGCAGCUGGUCUUUGAAAUUCUUUAGAGAGAAGAUUGGACUUACAUCUGGACCAAUUCACAUGGUGAACUGGGGUGCAAAUGCUCCAGUAGGGAUAACACAUCCCCCAAUUCACUCCAACACAUGAAUGGCCGACACUAGAACUCUUUUUAGAACUUCACCUCAUGAUGUGGUGUGUGUUUGGGAGUGAGGGCAAAGAAAGAGGAACAAUAACGGGAAAAUGAAUUUAGCUUCCUUAAGACUGCCGGCGGGGAGGAGGGUCCCUCAGGGGCUGAGCUGAAUGCCAUCAGAGGCCUCCUAGCUAGAGAGGCGUCCGAAAUAGAUGUUUCAAGGGAAGAAGAAGGGGAGGGGGAGAAGAGGUGGGCAGAGGAGGCACAGAAAGAGAAGAGGAUUAGGGGUGAGAAAUGCCUGGUUUACAAAAGCCAACCCAUUUCUGUGAACCUUCAUUAGAAGAAUGACAAACACUCACAUGUAAAAAUCCACACCCAAAGGCUCUCAGGUACAGAGCAAUCACAAGAAAUGCCACGUGUGCACUUCAUUAAGAGACCUGCCAGCUCAGUUUCAUUUAUCCAGACUGCUCUGCAUUCUGCUGGCAACUGAGCUGGAAAAAAAAAAUGGAAGGACAGACAUACUUGAAGAGGUAAACAGAGGUGGGAACAUUCUAGCUACAAAAUAGGACAGAUGAUGCAGAAGCCAGGGGAAGGGAGAGAUGAGAUGACAUUUUUCUUAACAAACAACAACUGCUCCUCUCUCCAACUCUACAUUUGCCAGUAAUGUAAUAUUGUGGUUUUUAAGAGAAAAAAUACAACAAGAACAGACAUGUGUGGUGCAGAGACAAUUCUGUUGGCAGCCUAUUCAAAUCUACUCCCAAUUCUUCUACACUUCCCAAGACCUGAUUUUGUUUCAGUGUUCACCCUUUUAGAGUCUCCAUGUCCAGGGACAGGCUUCCUCGAUAGACCUAAACCCAUCACAGAAAAUCCAUCUUCCUUGCUAAGGACUGUUUAGACAUAGGCAUGUGACAUGAUCACACAGGCAUGUGACAAUUUUGACCAAUGAAAUGUGGCAAGUCCUAGGUUGCAUGAAUGUGUGCUCAGUUGCUCAGCUGUGUCUGACUUAGCAACCCCAUGAACUGCAGCCUGCCAGGCUCUUCUGUCCAUGGAAUUUUCUGGGCAAGAAUUCUGGAGUAGGUUGCCAUUUCCUCCUCCAUGGCAUCUUCUCAACCCAGGGAUCACACCUGUAUCUCCUACACAGGGAGGCAGAUUCUUUUACCACUUAGCUACCUUGGAAGCCCUGACAAGCACUGGGUUACUCGCUCUUAAAACACACACAUACACACAACUUCCUUCUGCCUUUGGAUAAUAUGUGAGAACAAGUGAUGGCUGGUGUCGUUGCAGCCACGUUGUUAGCACGAGGAAGUAUCUGCCACUGAGGCAGGCAGGGCAGCAAGACAAAAUGAGUUCCUUGAUAACUUUCUUGAAUGAACCAGCCCUGAAAUGCCCUACUUCUGAGUUCUUGUUAUGCAAUAUAAUUCAUUUCCCUAUACUUAAAGUUUCUUAAAAGUGUGAACUGUAGCUGAGAGGAUCCUGACUGAUGCAGGGUUAUUUGGUGGAGUAGAAGACAGAAUGAAGCACACUUUCACAAUGACUCAUGAAAAGACAAAAGACAACUGUUAAGUAAUUGCUGAAAUUCUUUAAUGUCCUUGGAAUCACGUUGGAUUAGAAUAGCAAAGGAGGGACAGUGUCACAUGUGUACAGGGCAAUGUUCAGAUUACAAAUACGACAGGAUCAACUCAUUGGCUACAAUUUCAUCUAAUAACACAAGACCCCCAACCCCAAGCUGAUUGGACAUACAGAAUUUAGGUGAGCAUUUCCUAUGACCCUCUGCCCUGAACCUCACUCUCUGGGACUCACAGCAGUUUUCCUAUCCAUGAUGGAAUGUGCUGGAGCUUAUUAUAAACCCUGCUUUUCAGCAGGUGAUGGAGGCCCUAAAGACAUGCACCUGGCCAACUGUGUGUCAAAACCAAGGCUAUAGUAGGGAAGAGAUUUUUCUUUUUAUUAUCCCUGUAUUAAAUCUGGCCAUGUUUUCCUGUGGUGGCUCUGGCGUCCUACACAGUAGAGCUCAACAUUUGCAGGGAGUUUAGGCCUGGUGCAGCAGGAAAACAAUUGCUGUGGCUGCCGGCCUGAGCAGGAAGCUUUGCAGCUGCAUAAGUGGGCUCCCUGGAGUGGAAGGCGGGGAGAAUAGGUGUGGGUAGGGGGAGGGGCUGGAGCACAGAAGGAUGAAUGACUGGGGCCUUGGGCCCCGUAGGGCAGGGGUAGAUGUGUCCAGCUCACCAGGAGCCACGGUGCGCUGACUCAGGCAUGCCGCAUCCUGCUAGUGGGGGUGACCUCAGGGCCACAAGCUCUGCCUUGCCCCUAAAACCUCAGUGCCUGGUGCCACAGAGCGGGUGGCCGCAGCAUUCUGCUGCAGGAGCAAUGGCUAGAGAUUCCAGGCGGUGGGGAAACCUGGAUUAGCCCAGAAGCAGCUACACUUGCCACAACCCACAGGACCAUAAAGCCCUAAAUGCAGCCUGGGUUGAAGGCAGAGAACCAGCACUCCCAGGUUUUGGCUCCCAUAUCAUCUCAGAAACAAAAAAUCAAAACACCAUCGGAGUCCCCUUCCUCUCUGCUUGUCCACAACCCGCCAUCACUCCAGGUCAAUUAAUCCUCUAGAAUUCCAGGCUGGAAAACUCAGCUCUAGUAGUCAGCAGACAGGUCUCAACAGGCGUUAUGGAUUUCAAACCAGAAGCCUAGCCUUCUGAGCCCACUUAAGCCCCUUUCCACUUGCCAUUUGUGCCAGGACAGACAGUGCUGCAGGCAGGAUGCCAAGAACAUCCACGCUGGGAGGUCCCACCAGGCCCUGAUGUGAAGAGAGGAGCCGUGCGCCCUCUGGACCCACUAUGCUCAACCACACCUUACUCUACAGCCACUGAAUCAUGACAAAGACGGGCACCUGAUUAAAAACCCCACCCGUUUCAAACCCUUUCCAUAAUUUUGACCAACAACUUUAAUUGAUAAUAGAAAAACAUCUUAUCUCUAAAUAAAACUAAUGCUGACAGAAAAGACCGAUGCUGAAAACCAGCCAUGUGGCUGACAUGAGCCCGUGCCUGGCCA
This is a long non-coding RNA of Bubalus bubalis (water buffalo), 3504 nucleotides long. RefSeq lists it as uncharacterized. NCBI's taxonomy places the organism in Eukaryota, Metazoa, Chordata, Mammalia, Artiodactyla, Bovidae. The record is from RefSeq and is a predicted model, not a curated record. The transcript is spliced from 2 exons.